Molecule: microRNA precursor, 192 nt
Filed under: Oryza brachyantha (malo sina)
Lineage: Eukaryota; Viridiplantae; Streptophyta; Magnoliopsida; Poales; Poaceae
Description: MIR812 microRNA precursor family
Rfam family: MIR812 microRNA precursor family
Source: Rfam by way of RNAcentral
AAUAACUUCAUUUUUCAGUUUUUUGACACAAUGUUUUGACUCUUCGUCUUAUUUGAAAUUUUUUUUACGAUUAAUAUUUUUAUUGUUACUAGAUGAUAAAAUAUAAAUAGUGUUUUAUGCGUGAAUAAUUUUUUAAAAUUUUUGUACAAAUUUUUUAAAUAAUACGAAUGAUCAAACGUUGGACACGAAAAA